RNAcentral lists this unclassified non-coding RNA (431 nucleotides) under soil metagenome. Its description in RNAcentral is "partial contains 5.8S ribosomal RNA, internal transcribed spacer 2, and large subunit ribosomal RNA". The stretch from base 1 to 120 matches the Rfam family "5.8S ribosomal RNA", at positions 35 to 154 of the family's 154-position model. The record is from RNAcentral.
GAUGAAGAACGUAGCGAAAUGCGAUACGUAAUGUGAAUUGCAGAAUUCAGUGAAUCAUCGAAUCUUUGAACGCAUAUUGCGCUCUCUGGUAUUCCGGAGAGCAUGCUUGUUUGAGUAUCAGUAAACACCUCAACUUCCAUAUCUUUUUUUGAAAUGGGAGUUGGACUUGAGUGAUCCCAACGCUUUUCCUCACCGAAAAGUGGCGGGUUACUUGAAAUGCAGGUGCAGCUGGACUUUUCUCUGAGCUAUAAGCAUAUCUAUUUAGUCUGCCUAAAAAACAGAUUAUUACCUUUGCUGCAGCUAACAUAAAGGAGAUUAGUUCUUGUGCUGACUGAUGCAGGAUUCACAAAGACAGCUUCGGCCGACUUUGUAAACUCGAUCUCAAAUCAAGUAAGACUACCCGCUGAACUUAAGCAUACAAUAGCGGAGGA